GUGAGCGUAGCUCAGUUGGCAGAGCAUCAGGUUGUGGCCCUGAGGGUCAGGGGUUCGAAUCCCCUCGCUCACCCCA
RNAcentral lists this transfer RNA (76 nucleotides) under Candidatus Latescibacterota bacterium. Its description in RNAcentral is "tRNA-His". It matches the Rfam family "tRNA". Rfam says of the family: Transfer RNA (tRNA) molecules are approximately 80 nucleotides in length. Their secondary structure includes four short double-helical elements and three loops (D, anti-codon, and T loops). Lineage: Bacteria; Pseudomonadati; Candidatus Latescibacterota. The record is from RNAcentral.